This 484-nucleotide ribosomal RNA is filed under the name uncultured bacterium. Its description in RNAcentral is "partial 16S ribosomal RNA". It matches the Rfam family "Bacterial small subunit ribosomal RNA", at positions 30 to 507 of the family's 1533-position model. The record is from RNAcentral.
AUUGAACGCUGGCGGCAGGCCUAACACAUGCAAGUCGAGCGGAUGAAGGGAUCUUGCUCCUGGAUUCAGCGGCGGACGGUUGAGUAAUGCCUAGGAAUCUGCCUGGUAUUGGUGGAUAACGUCCGUAAACGGGCGCUAAUACCGCAUACGUCCUGAGCGUGUAUGUUUGGUAUCUUCUGACCUCACGCUAUCUUAUGUUCCUAGGUCGGAUUAGCUAGUUGGUGGGGUAAAGGCCUACCAAGGCGACGAUCCGUAACUGGUCUGAGAGGAUGAUCAGUCACACUGGAACUGAGACACGGUACAGACGACUACGGGAGGCAGCAGUGGGGAAUAUUGGACAAAGGGCGAAAGCAUGAUACAGGCAUGGCGAGUGUGUGAAGAAGGUCUACGGAUUGUAAAGCACUUUAAGUUGGGAGGAAGGGAAGUAAGUUAAUAACUUGCUGUUUUGACGUUACCAACAGAAUAAGCACCGGCUAACUUCGUG